Molecule: ribosomal RNA, 253 nt
Filed under: uncultured bacterium
Lineage: Bacteria
Description: partial 16S ribosomal RNA
Rfam family: Bacterial small subunit ribosomal RNA
Source: RNAcentral
GACAGAGGAGGCGAGCGUUAUCCGGAGUUAUUGGGUGUAAAGGGUACGUAGGCGGCUGGUCAAGUCUGGGGUUAAAGACCACAGCUUAACUGUGGGGGGGCCUUGGAACCUGACCGGCUGGAGUGGGGCAGGGGUUGCGGGAAUUCCCGGUGUAGAGGUGAAAUGCGUAGAUAUCGGGAAGAACACCUGAGGCGAAAGCGCGCAACUGGGCCCUAACUGACGCUGAGGUACGAAAGCUAGGGGAGCGAAUGGG